GUUCGAUCACGGCUCAGAUUGAACGCUGGCAGGAUGUUACACAUGCAAGUCGAACGGCAGCACGGACUUCGGUCUGGUGGCGAGUGGCGAACGGGUGAGUAAUGUAUCGGAACGUGCCUAGUAGCGGGGGAUAACUACACCGAAAGCGUAGCUAAUACCGCAUACGCCCUUCGGGGAAAGCGGGGGACCUUCGGGCCUCGCACUAUUAAACGGCCGAUAUCGGAUUAGCUAGUUGGUGGGGUAACGGCUCACCAAGGCGACGAUCCGUAGCUGGUUUGAGAGGACGACCAGCACACUGGGACUGAGACACGGCCCAGACUCCUGCAGGAGGCAGCAGUGGGGAAUUUUGGACAAUGCGACCUGAUCCAGCCAUCCCCGCGUGUGCGAUGAAGGCCUUCGGGUUGUAAAGCACUUUUGGCAGGAAAGAAACGGCACGGGAUAAUACCCCGUGCAACUGACGGCUACCUGCAAGAAUAAGCACCGGCUAACUACGUGCCAGCAGCCGCGGUAAUGCAUGAGAUUACGGCGUUAAUCGGAAUUACUGGGCGUAAAGCGUGCGCAGGCGGUUCGGAAGAAAGAUGUGAAAUCCAGAGCUUAACUUUGGAACUGCAUUUUUUUAACUACCGAGCUAGAGUGUGUCAGAGGGAGGUGGAAUUCCGCGUGUAGCAGUGAAAUGCGUAGAUAUGCGGAGGAACACCGAUGGCGAAGGCAGCCUCCUGGGAUAACACUGACGCUCAUGCACGAAAGCGUGGGGAGCAAACGGGAUUAGAUACCCUGGUAGUCCACGCCUAAACGAUGUCAGCUAGCUGUUGGGGCCUUCGGGCCUUGGUAGCGCAGCUAACGCGUGAAGUUGACCGCCUGGGAAGUACGGUCGCAAGAUUAAAACUCAAAGGAAUUGACGGGGACCCGCACAAGCGGUGGAUGAUGUGGAUUAAUUCGAUGCAACGCGAAAACCUUACCUACCCUUGACAUGUCUGGAAUCCCGAAGAGAUUUGGGAGUGCUCGCAAGAGAACCGGAACACAGGUACUGCAUGGCUGUCGUCAGCUCGUGUCGUGAGAUGUUGGGUUAAGUCCCGCAACGAGCGCAGCCCUUGUCAUUAGUUGCUACGAAAGAGGGCACUCUAAUGAGACUGCCGGUGACAAACCGGAGGAAGGUGGGGAUGACGUCAAGUCCUCAUGGCCCUUAUGGGUAGGGCUUCACACGUCAUACAAUGGUCGGGACAGAGGGUCGCCAACCCGCGAGGAGCCAAUCCCAGAAACCCGAUCGUAGUCCGGAUCGCAGUCUGCAACUCGACUGCGUGAAGUCAGAAUCGCUAGUAAUCGCGGAUCAGCAUGUCGCGGUGAAUACGUUCCCGGGUCUUGUACACACCGCCCGUCACACCAUGGGAAUUGGGUUUUACCAGAAGUAGUUAGCCUAACUUAAGCCAAGGAGGGCGAUUACCACGGUAGGAUUCAUGACUGGGGUGAAGUCGUAACAAUUG
RNAcentral lists this ribosomal RNA (1481 nucleotides) under uncultured Bordetella sp. Its description in RNAcentral is "partial 16S-23S ribosomal RNA intergenic spacer". It matches the Rfam family "Bacterial small subunit ribosomal RNA". The record is from RNAcentral. Lineage: Bacteria; Pseudomonadati; Pseudomonadota; Betaproteobacteria; Burkholderiales; Alcaligenaceae.